CCUACGGGUGGCUGCAGUGGGGAAUAUUGGACAAUGGGGGGAACCCUGAUCCAACCAUGCCGCGUGUGUGAAGAAGGCCCUCGGGUUGUAAAGCACUUUCAGUGAGGAAGAACGCCUGGUGGUUAAUACCCAUCAGGAAAGACAUCACUCACAGAAGAAGCACCGGCUAACUCCGUGCCAGCAGCCGCGGUAAUACGGAGGGUGCGAGCGUUAAUCGGAAUUACUGGGCGUAAAGCGCGCGUAGGUGGCUUGAUAAGCCGGUUGUGAAAGCCCCGGGCUCAACCUGGGAACGGCAUCCGGAACUGUCAAGCUAGAGUGCAGGAGAGGAAGGUAGAAUUCCCGGUGUAGCGGUGAAAUGCGUAGAGAUCGGGAGGAAUACCAGUGGCGAAGGCGGCCUUCUGGACUGACACUGACACUGAGGUGCGAAAGCGUGGGUAGCAAACAGGAUUAGAUACCCUUGUAGUC
RNAcentral lists this ribosomal RNA (465 nucleotides) under Vreelandella stevensii. Its description in RNAcentral is "partial 16S ribosomal RNA". It matches the Rfam family "Bacterial small subunit ribosomal RNA", at positions 338 to 795 of the family's 1533-position model. The record is from RNAcentral. Lineage: Bacteria; Pseudomonadati; Pseudomonadota; Gammaproteobacteria; Oceanospirillales; Halomonadaceae.